Molecule: unclassified non-coding RNA, 250 nt
Filed under: Hevea brasiliensis (rubber tree)
Lineage: Eukaryota; Viridiplantae; Streptophyta; Magnoliopsida; Malpighiales; Euphorbiaceae
Source: RNAcentral
CCAUCACAUCAUCAACCAUAGUUUGCAUGUCACCACUAGUGACCCCUGCGUUUUCCAACCCAUUUUCUACCAUGUCAGGUUCUUUAUGCAAAGUAAUUGGAUUUUCCUGAUACAAUGCAAGAUCACCAUUCUCAUUAGCAUCAUGCAUCCUAUCAGGGUCUCCAGUACCUUUAAUGUCAGAGGUAUCCAGCAUCUCACUAGAGCUUGCAGCGAGUCUAUCUGUCAAACUCUCUACGUUUUCCAUUGAUUG